Molecule: long non-coding RNA, 3005 nt
Organism: Triticum aestivum (bread wheat)
Lineage: Eukaryota; Viridiplantae; Streptophyta; Magnoliopsida; Poales; Poaceae
Exons: 3
Source: RefSeq, a predicted model, not a curated record
CGUUUGCACCACUACAACUUUUGCAGAGAGCAGAGCAUCCAUGAUAAACGAGGCCCGUCAACUGGAGCAAAGUCAUAGACGUCAGCGCGGCGCUCCGUGUGACCUCGCGGUGGCCACGUGUCAUCAGCUGAUCAGAGUCAUGGCAUAGGAGUGGCCGGCGAUGGCCGCCAUGGGCACAAUCCAGGAUGGGCUCGCCGUGUUUGCUAGCUCUGGGUGCCGAGGGACAGUGCCCUAGCGGUGCGCGCUGGCUUCGGUUGCCAAGGGGCAGCGGCACGAUAGUGCGCGACGGCGUGCGGUGCGCGUGCGCGCCUGGCCUGGUCGAUGACGGCUUCGCGCGCGGCACCGGCUGCUCCAAGUAGCUCGCCUGCAGCAAUGGCGCCGGACAAGCCGGUGACUGUUUCCAAGGAAGGUCCGGUAACGACACCCCUAUCGACGUCGCCCACAUUAGCGGCACGGUCCAGGCCGGCGUGCUCGACGACGGUGCUCGUCUCAGCAGGCGCUGCUGCUCGGCGGUGCAGGUCAAUGACGGUGAGUCUUCUUGGGGUGAGGCCGUGCUCCCUGUCCGGCCCCAGACCUUCAGCCAUGCUGCCCCCUCUACUGGGUCGUCGUCACUGCUGUUACCGCACUGCCCACAUGGUGUUCGACAGAUUGUCUCACAUGUUUAUUUCAAAGUGUUGGUGUCUUUCACUCUUUCUUCGCCGUAAAUGCUGACUGAUGCAGCACUGUUGCUGAUUGCCUGCGCUAAAAAGUUGAAACACAAAUUGAGCGCCCCCUCCCACCUGAGCUUCCAGCAGCAUCCUCUUCGCCGUGGUGUCAAUGAAGGUAAGGUUAAUAUAUAGACCAUCCACCAUAUCUUAUAGGCCACUGAUUUUUGCAUCUGAAGGUGUACAUCACAUGGAGAAUUUUCUUGUGCUCUCAUGUAUAUCAGGUUCAUUUUGGGCCAAUGGUUGAAAGAUAUUAUUUGAAAUGUUCCUUGGUUCGUCGACAAGGCGCACACACUGUGUUCGAUGACGACCCUGCUCCCGACUUGCUGUGCACACCUUGCUUGUAGGAGAUCACCCUUUAUGUCUAAUCGUUUAAUUCUUUAACUGGAAGUUCCUAUGCUGGCUAAGUGGCGAGGUGCAUUCACAUUGGGAAGUUAUAUUGAUCAAGUGGAAGAAAAUGAAGUAGCAGGCUCUGAUCCUCACUGCUUAGCUUUUCUAGAGAGGAUCAAAAGAUCUUUUGUUUUGGAGCAUUUGUGUAUUUGAUGAAACCCUGAACUGCAGACCCAAUCCUGAGCUUUAUUUUCAGUUUAGCAGUGGCCGUGUGCGGUAAUGUUGCUUCUUUGAAAAGAUAUGGACAGUAGAGUGUUAAGGAAUUUUUUGCUUUGAGAGAACACAAAGAGAAGAAGGGGAUACAAACAGAAGUUUGCUGGCCUGGUACAGUAUUUAACUUGUUGGUUGGUGUUGUUUUUUUAUAAUCAACUUACAUGCAGGAUUACUUUUUUUUUCUCUGGAAAGGCUUCCACCUAAAUAUAUUUCAAUUUUUUUUACUUUGUUACAAAGGCACACAGGGGAUCAGGCAUAGCGUGAGGAGAUGAAAUCACGCCACAGACCGGCGUGCUCCAUUAGAUCGCUUUAUUUCAACCUAUGCGACCAUGAGGUCAAAUCAGCGACGAUGUUUUGCAGUGUCAGCCGGCUGCCUUUCAGUUUAAUAGCACCAUAUUUAAUCAGCGACGAUGUUUCGCAGUGUCAGCCGGCUGCUCAGUUUAAUAGCACCAUAUUCUAUCUUAGGAAUUUAAACAGUACCUACGGCCUAAUAAAGAAAAGAUGCAUGAAGCAAGAGAGAAGAUGACUUUCCUAGACACAUUAUCACUUGUAUUUACAAAAAUGCAGUUUGCCUAUUUGCUUCUUCAGUGCUGGGCAUGCUAUUCCAGACUUUGUGCCCCUCAGAACCAGGUGUAGCACUUCGACAGUUCCUCUUUAAAAUGCUGUUGGAACUUUUUUGAAUGAUAUGAGCUUGUGGCAUGUGUUUAUUACCACAUUUCUCAAUAUUAGCAUUAUUCUUCUAUACUGUUUGUGUUGUGAAUGUAUGGCUGAAAAAAAAUAUGGUUAUCGUUAUGCAAAUUUGAUAUGUUUCAUGUGGCCAUAUAUUUACGAAAACUCCCAUCAUUCCAUCAAUAAUCUAGUACAUAUAUCACUGUUUCUUAUGUAAUUCAUACGCUUUAUACUACAAACCUUGGUUUGUCCAAUUUUGCUUCAGAUCCAGGUGUAGCACUUUAGCAGUUCCUCUUAAUAUUUUCGGGCACUUCUUUGAAUGGCAUGACCCAUACAUGUAGUUUCUGGCCUGUGUUUAUUGCCACAUUUUCUUAAUAUUAGCAUUAUUCCACUAUACUGUUUCUGAUAUGAAUGCAUGACUGAAAAAUGCAUAUGGUUGUCGUUAUGCAACUUCGAUAUGUUUCAUGUGGUCAUAUAUUGAACAAAACUCCUAUUAUCUUAUCACUAGUUUAUCGCUGUUUCUUAUGUAAUAAAUCCUAUGGUUUCUGCUACAAACCUUUGGCUUGCCCAAACCAGUAUGAAGGCACGAUGGCUGUGCGGCGUCUGCCUCCCGGGAGCUCGUGGCUGCGGGGAGCCUCAACUGCCCACUUGGAAAGAGAGACAGGCAGCGCGUCGGAAUAGUAUGCUUGAAAAAUGGAACCUUGAACCGGACCAAACGGGAAGCAGAGGGGGAGAAGAGGAAGAAGCCGGAGGCGAAAGGGAUAGGUGGGCAGGGCCGCAGAGAGAGCAAUCCCCAAAAGCUACCCUCUUCGUUCUCCUCCACAGAACUCGAUUGCCAGGCAUCUUUACUCUGUGCUGCACCUCUUUCUCCCGUGGACUUGGCCCAUGGACCAUGCUUGUAGCAAUUUUAUUCUCUUUUCUUUUUGAACCUAUGAUAUUAGUAGCAGUGUUGAGAAUACGGAUCUCGCGAGAAUAAUGUGCUCGGUUUUCUACGAGUCGAACCGACUCGCUGCGCCUUGGGCCAUAGAA